RNAcentral lists this long non-coding RNA (480 nucleotides) under Mytilus galloprovincialis (Mediterranean mussel). Lineage: Eukaryota; Metazoa; Mollusca; Bivalvia; Mytilida; Mytilidae. The record is from RNAcentral.
UAAUAAAACUAAUGUACAAUGUCCAUGUUGUCUUAAUUUCUUUCAAUGUACCAACAAUGGAAAUAACUUGAAGUGUAGCAAACCUUAGGUUAUCAACCUCAAUUUAUAUACAGGUUUGUAAAUUAUUUGUAGACAUUGUUUUAAAAAAAAAUAAUUUGAAAUAAAUUUACAUGGGAAGAGUAAUCAGGAGAGUAACUCUAUAUUCGCUAACAUGCACCGCAUCUGAUCACAGAAAAUUUUGAGAAAUAAAACUAGAGGCUCUAAAGAGCCUGUGUCGCUCACCUUGGUCUAUGUGAAUAUUAAACAAAAAUUAUGUUUUGGUGAUGGUGAUGUGUUUGUACAUCUUACUUUACUGAACAUUCUUGCUACUUACAAUUAUCUCUAUCUAUAAUGAACUUGGCCCAGUAGUUUCAGUGGAAAAUGUUAGUUAAAAUUUACAAAUUUUAUGAAAAUUGUUAAAAAUUGACUAUAAAGGACAAU